Molecule: ribosomal RNA, 1327 nt
Filed under: uncultured organism
Description: 16S ribosomal RNA
Rfam family: Bacterial small subunit ribosomal RNA
Source: RNAcentral
GAGUGGCGAACGGGCGAGGAAUGCGUUUCUAACGUGCCCCAAGGUCGAGGAUAGCUCGGGGAAACCCGGGGUAAUACUCGAUGACCCCCAUGGAUCGCAUGGUUCGUGGGGCAAAGGCUUGCUGCCUUGGGAUCGGGAAACGCCCUAUCAGGUUGUUGGUGAGGUAACGGCUCACCAAGCCUAAGACGGGUAGCGGGUGUGAGAGCAUGACCCGCCGCAUCGGGACUGAGACACUGCCCGGACUCCUACGGGAGGCUGCAGCAACGGAUAUUGGGCAAUGAGCGAAAGCUUGACCCAGCAAUGCCGCGUGCAGGAGGAAGCCCCUCGGGGUGUAAACUGCUGUCAGGGUUUAGGAAGUUCUGACCAAACCCAAAGGAAGGGCCGGCUAACUUCGUGCCAGCAGCCGCGGUAAUACGAAGGGCGCAAGCGUUAAUCGGAAUCACUGGGCUUAAAGGGUGCGCAGGCGGAAUGGUCAGUGUCUUGUGAAAUCCCACGGCUCAACCGUGCAACUGCAUGGCAUACUGCCAUUCUUGAGGCCUGUAGAGGCCGCCCGAAACUCUAGGUGUAGCCGUGAAAUGCGUAGAUAUCUAGAGGAACGCCCAAAGACGAAGGUAGGCGGCUGGGCCGGGUUCUGACGCUCAGGCACGAAAAGCGUGGGGAGCAAACAGGAUUAGAUACCCUGGUAGUCCACGCCGUAAACGUUGUGCACUAGGUGCUGGAGGUUCUGACACCAUCAGCGCCGAAGCGAAAGUGAUUAGUGCACCGCCUGGGGAGUACGGUCGCAAGGCUAAAACUCAAAGGAAUUGACGGGGGCUCACACAAGCGGUGGAGCAUGUGGCUUAAUUCGAGGCAACGCGAAGAACCUUAUCCUGGGCUUGACAUGCAUGGAUUAACGCUGGGAAACCAGCGCCACACUCUUUGAGUGGAACAUGCACAGGUGCUGCAUGGCUGUCGUCAGCUCGUGCUGUGAAGUGUUGGGUUAAGUCCCUUAACGAGCGAAACCCCUGUCGCUAGUUACCAUCAGGUAAUGCCGGGGACUCUAGCGAGACUGCCGGUGUCAAACCGGAGGAAGGCGGGGAUGACGUCAAGUCCUCAUGGCCUUUAUGCCCAGGGCUGCACACGUGCUACAAUGGCGCCGACAGAGCGAAGCAAAACCGCGAGGUAGAGCAAAUCGCAAAAAAGGUGCCCCAGUUCGGAUUGCAGUCUGCAACUCGACUGCAUGAAGCCGGAAUCGCUAGUAAUCGCGUAUCAGCAACGACGCGGUGAAUACGUUCCUGAGCCUUGUACACACCGCCCGUCAAGUCAUGGAAGCCGGGAGUACCCGAAG